AUUGAACGCUGGCGGCAGGCCUAACACAUGCAAGUCGAACGAGUGGCGGACGGGUGAGUAAUGUCUGGGAAACUGCCCGAUGGAGGGGGAUAACUACUGGAAACGGUAGCUAAUACCGCAUACCAUCGGAUGUGCCCAGAUGGGAUUAGCUAGUAGGUGGGGUAACGGCUAACCUAGGAGACGAUCCCUAGCUGGUCUGAGAGGAUGACCCGCCACACUGGAACUGAGAAACGGGCCAGACUCCUACGGGAGGCAGCAGUGUGGAAUAUUGCACAAUGGGCGGAAGCCUGAUGCAGCCAUGCCGCGUGGAUGAAGAAGGCCUUCGGGUUGUAAAGUACUUUCAGCGGGGAAGCGUUACUCGCAGAAGAAGCAUCGGCUAACUCCGUGCCAGCCGCCGCGGUAAUUC
RNAcentral lists this ribosomal RNA (406 nucleotides) under uncultured bacterium. RNAcentral describes it as "partial 16S ribosomal RNA". It matches the Rfam family "Bacterial small subunit ribosomal RNA", at positions 30 to 526 of the family's 1533-position model. The record is from RNAcentral.